RNAcentral lists this ribosomal RNA (253 nucleotides) under uncultured bacterium. RNAcentral's name for it is "partial 16S ribosomal RNA". It matches the Rfam family "Bacterial small subunit ribosomal RNA", at positions 524 to 776 of the family's 1533-position model. The record is from RNAcentral.
UACGGAGGGUGCAAGCGUUAUCCGGAUUUACUGGGUUUAAAGGGCGCGUAGGCGGCCGAUCAAGUCAGGCGUGAAAUUCCCGGGCUCAACCUGGGGGCUGCGCUUGAUACUGAUUGGCUUGAAUGCGGGAGAGGAUAGUGGAAUUCCCAGUGUAGAGGUGAAAUUCGUAGAUAUUGGGAAGAACACCGGUGGCGAAGGCGGCUAUCUGGCCCGUAAUUGACGCUGAGGCGCGAAAGCGUGGGGAGCAAACAGG